UGCUCCCUGAUGUUAGCGGCGGACGGGUGAGUAACACGUGGGUAACCUGCCUGUAAGACUGGGAUAACUCCGGGAAACCGGGGCUAAUACCGGAUGGUUGUUUGAACCGCAUGGUUCAGACAUAAAAGGUGGCUUCGGCUACCACUUACAGAUGGACCCGCGGCGCAUUAGCUAGUUGGUGAGGUAACGGCUCACCAAGGCGACGAUGCGUAGCCGACCUGAGAGGGUGAUCGGCCACACUGGGACUGAGACACGGCCCAGACUCCUACGGGAGGCAGCAGUAGGGAAUCUUCCGCAAUGGACGAAAGUCUGACGGAGCAACGCCGCGUGAGUGAUGAAGGUUUUCGGAUCGUAAAGCUCUGUUGUUAGGGAAGAACAAGUGCCGUUCAAAUAGGGCGGCACCUUGACGGUACCUAACCAGAAAGCCACGGCUAACUACGUGCCAGCAGCCGCGGUAAUACGUAGGUGGCAAGCGUUGUCCGGAAUUAUUGGGCGUAAAGGGCUCGCAGGCGGUUUCUUAAGUCUGAUGUGAAAGCCCCCGGCUCAACCGGGGAGGGUCAUUGGAAACUGGGGAACUUGAGUGCAGAAGAGGAGAGUGGAAUUCCACGUGUAGCGGUGAAAUGCGUAGAGAUGUGGAGGAACACCAGUGGCGAAGGCGACUCUCUGGUCUGUAACUGACGCUGAGGAGCNAAAGCGUGGGGAGCGAACAGNAUUAGAUACCCUGGUAGUCCACGCCGUAAACGAUGAGUGCUAAGUGUUAGGGGGNUUNCNCCCNUUAGUGCUGCAGCUAACGCAUUAAGCACUCCGCCUGGGGAGUACGGUCGCAAGACUGAAACUCAAAGGAAUUGACGGGGGCCGGCCCAACCGGUGGAGAUUGUGGUUUUAUU
RNAcentral lists this ribosomal RNA (887 nucleotides) under Bacillus siamensis. RNAcentral describes it as "bacterial SSU rRNA". It matches the Rfam family "Bacterial small subunit ribosomal RNA", at positions 80 to 951 of the family's 1533-position model. Lineage: Bacteria; Bacillati; Bacillota; Bacilli; Caryophanales; Bacillaceae. The record is from RNAcentral.